UAUAGAUCUCUAUAGAUAUCUAUAGAUCUCUAUAGAUAUCUAUAUCUCCAUUCUGUAAUGUAUAUAGACAUCAUUCCACACUGUGGAAAGAAACAGUUCAAAUCCCCUACCAGGGCCCUUACUACAAUUAUAAUAAAAACGAAUAAAAAGAAUGUUUCUGGCCAGGCACGGUGGCUCAUGCCUGUAAUCCCAGCACUUUGGGAGGCCGAGGCAGGUGGAUCACCUGAGGUCCGGGGUUCGAGACCAGCCUGGCCAACAUGGUGAAACCCCGUCUCUACUAAUACAAAAAUAAGCUGGGAGUGGUGGCACUACUCGGGAGGCUGAGGCAGGAGAAUUGCUUGAACCGGGGAGGUGGAGGUUGCAGUGAGCCGAGAUCGUGCGUGCCAUUGCACUCCAGCCUGGGUGACAAGAGAGAAACUCCGUCUCAUAAAAAAACAAAAACAAGAAAAAAGAAUGUUUCUGAGUACAGUGUGUGAAUCACAUGCAUGGUGAUGAACUAAUGAACAUCCAGAACUCCAACAGGAGACAAUGUCAGAAGGAUUAACAAAUCUGACCUUGACCCUGGGCAACAUAGUGAGACCCUGUCUUUACAAACAGUUUUUUAAAACUUAGCUGGAUGUGGUGGUGUGCGCUUGUGGUUCCAGCUGUUCCGGAGGCUAAAGUGGGAGGUUCGCUUGAGCCCAGGAGUUAGAGGAUGUAGUGAGCCAUGAUCACACCACUGCACUCCAGCCCUGGCAACAGAGCGAGACCCUGUCUCUUUAAAAAAAAAAAAAAAAUUGGCUGGGAAUGGUGGCUCACGCCUGUAAUCCCAACAUUUUGGGAGGCCGAGGUGGGCGGAUCACAAGGUCAAGAGAUCGAGACCAUCCUGGCCCACAUGGUGAAACUACAUCUCUACUAAAAAU
Molecule: long non-coding RNA, 902 nt
Filed under: Homo sapiens (human)
Lineage: Eukaryota; Metazoa; Chordata; Mammalia; Primates; Hominidae
Description: HSALNT0247192
Source: RNAcentral